GACGAACGCUGGCGGCGUGCUUAACACAUGCAAGUCAGGGGGCGGGGUAACCCGUCACCGGCGAACGGGUGCGGAACACGUGAGCGACCUGCCCUGGUGUGGGGGAUAGCCGGCCCAACGGCCGGGUAAUACCGCAUACGGCGCCCGCUUGGAAGCGGGAGGCGAAACUCGCACGAGGCGCUAGGAGGGGCUCGCGGCCUAUCAGCUAGUUGGUGCGGUAACGGCGCACCAAGGCGAUGACGGGUAGCUGGUCUGAGAGGAUGGCCAGCCACAUAGGGACGGAGAGACGGCCCAGACUACGACGGGAGGCAGCAGCGGGGAAUAUUGCGCAAUGGGCGAAAGCCUGACGCAGCGACGCCGCGUGGAGGAUGAGGCCCUUCGGGGUGUAAACUCCUGUUGCCCGGGACGUAUGCCCCGCAACGGCGGGGUUGACGGUACCGGGUGAGGAAGCACCGGCUAACUCUGUG
This 467-nucleotide ribosomal RNA is filed under the name uncultured bacterium. RNAcentral's name for it is "partial 16S ribosomal RNA". It matches the Rfam family "Bacterial small subunit ribosomal RNA", at positions 28 to 507 of the family's 1533-position model. The record is from RNAcentral.